This 60-nucleotide transfer RNA is filed under the name Pseudocrangonyx joolaei. Its description in RNAcentral is "tRNA-Thr". Lineage: Eukaryota; Metazoa; Arthropoda; Malacostraca; Amphipoda; Pseudocrangonyctidae. The record is from RNAcentral.
GUUUUGGUAGUUUAAAUAAAACUUUAGCCUUGUAAGCUAAGAUUGGUUCACCCCACAACU